This 89-nucleotide ribosomal RNA is filed under the name Perilla frutescens var. frutescens. The record is from RNAcentral. Lineage: Eukaryota; Viridiplantae; Streptophyta; Magnoliopsida; Lamiales; Lamiaceae.
GAUCCCAUAAAAAAACCGCAGUUAAAGGGGUUUGGGGGAAGAUAGUAUUAGGAGGGGGGACCCCCUGGGAAGUCCCUGUGUUGCCCCCC